GGACUACCGGGGUUUCUAAUCCUGUUCGCUCCCCACGCUUUCGCUCCUCAGUGUCAGGUAAGGCCCAGAGAACCGCCUUCGCCACCGGUGUUCCUCCUGAUAUCUGCGCAUUUCACCGCUACACCAGGAAUUCCAUUCUCCCCUACCUACCUCUAGUCUGCCCGUAUCCACUGCAGGCUCAGGGUUAAGCCCUGAGUUUUCACAGCGGACGCAACAGACCACCUACGAGCUCUUUACGCCCAAUAAUUCCGGACAACGCUUGCGCCCUACGUGUUACCGCGGCUGCUGGCAC
This 292-nucleotide ribosomal RNA is filed under the name uncultured bacterium. Its description in RNAcentral is "partial 16S ribosomal RNA". The record is from RNAcentral.